RNAcentral lists this ribosomal RNA (494 nucleotides) under uncultured bacterium. Its description in RNAcentral is "partial 16S ribosomal RNA". It matches the Rfam family "Bacterial small subunit ribosomal RNA", at positions 28 to 507 of the family's 1533-position model. The record is from RNAcentral.
GACGAACGCUGGCGGCGCGCUUAACACAUGCAAGUCGAACGGAAAGGCCUGCUUUCCCUUGUGGAUUGCGGGUACGCGAGUGGCGAACGGGUGAGUAACACGUGAGUGAUCUGCCCCCAACUUGGGUAUAAGCCCGGGAAACUGGGUCUAAUUCCCGAUAGGACUGCAGGGUGGUGCCUGUGGUGGAAAACGAUCUUCUAGUGGUUGGGGAUGAGCCCGCGGCCUAGCAGCUUGUUGGUGGGGUAAUGGCCUACCACGGCGGGGACGGGUAGCCGGCCUGUGAGGGUGGACGGCCGCAUUGGGACUGGGACCCGGCCCCGACUCCUACCGGCAGCAGCAGUGGGGACUCUUGCGCCGUGGGCGGAAGCCUGAUGCAGCGACGCCGCGUGGGGGAUGACGGCCUUCGGGUUGUAAGCUCCUUUCGACCGCGAGGAAGCCACCUGGUUGGGAGGGUGGUGACGGUAGUGGUAGAAGAAGCACCGGCUAACUACGUG